CCUACGGGCGGCUGCAGUGGGGAAUAUUGGACAAUGGGCGAAAGCCUGAUCCAGCCAUGCCGCGUGUGUGAAGAAGGCCUUCGGGUUGUAAAGCACUUUCAGUGGGGAAGAAAGCCUUGGGGCUAAUACCCUCGAGGAAGGACAUCACCCACAGAAGAAGCACCGGCUAACUCCGUGCCAGCAGCCGCGGUAAUACGGAGGGUGCGAGCGUUAAUCGGAAUUACUGGGCGUAACGCGCGCGUAGGCGGUCUGAUAAGCCGGUUGUGAAAGCCCCGGGCUCAACCUGGGAACGGCAUCCGGAACUGUCAGGCUAGAGUGCAGGAGAGGAAGGUAGAAUUCCCGGUGUAGCGGUGAAAUGCGUAGAGAUCGGGAGGAAUACCAGUGGCGAAGGCGGCCUUCUGGACUGACACUGACGCUGAGGUGCGAAAGCGUGGGUAGCAAACAGGAUUAGAUACCCCAGUAGUC
Molecule: ribosomal RNA, 465 nt
Filed under: Vreelandella stevensii
Lineage: Bacteria; Pseudomonadati; Pseudomonadota; Gammaproteobacteria; Oceanospirillales; Halomonadaceae
Description: partial 16S ribosomal RNA
Rfam family: Bacterial small subunit ribosomal RNA
Source: RNAcentral